GCUGCGCCAUUAUGGCGGUCCCCUCCCUCGUCGUCGUUCGAAAAGACCGAGGAUUGAAAUCAGUGUAAUCUCGCUUCUCCCUACUACGACAAAUGGACACACGUAUGUCCUCGUGUAUCUACAGCAUCGAAAUUUCAACUCAUCGACAUUGCACUGAUUUCAUUCCAUAAUAAACUUGAAAACGACGCAGAACUAUAGCCUGGCAAGCGCAGUUAUCGACAAUCAAAUUGUUAUAUAUCGUAAGGCUUUGCAGAACCACAAUCGUUGAACCCUAAUUCUUCAAUUAUUCCCAGUAUGUACGGCGCAACUUUCUCGAGGUAAGGAAAAAUAUUUGCGCUGUGUUUUCGCGGUAUGCAAAGUGCAAUAUUUCACGAAGGAUCCACGAAGGGAGGAUCAGCGAUUCGAAACUCCCGCGAUAUUUAAUCGCGGCCUCAAGAGAAUCAACGGGGAGUGUUCCGAGUUGUUUGAUCAGGUGCUGCGCGGAAUUCCGGCGUUUGCGGCGAAUUUUCUUCAACGUCGUAUCGGGUGUAGAUGCAAUCUUCGUCUGGUGCAAUUCCGAUUAAAAUUCUAGAGUCGCAUGUAAGCGAAGCGAUGCUAAUGUGAAAG
Molecule: long non-coding RNA, 606 nt
Organism: Trachymyrmex septentrionalis
Lineage: Eukaryota; Metazoa; Arthropoda; Insecta; Hymenoptera; Formicidae
Exons: 2
Source: RefSeq, a predicted model, not a curated record